Long non-coding RNA from Tyto alba (common barn owl), 477 nucleotides. RefSeq lists it as uncharacterized. The transcript is spliced from 2 exons. The record is from RefSeq and is a predicted model, not a curated record. Lineage: Eukaryota; Metazoa; Chordata; Aves; Strigiformes; Tytonidae.
UCCCAGCUCCUCUGCAGGCAGCCUGCCUGCGCGGGCAGACCGCGCUCAUGAGAACCGUGCUCCUGCACCGUGUCUGAACGCCGUGCCCUGCUGAGCUCCCAUCUGGGGGAGCAUGGGGACGUGGGGACCCAUCCCAGUGUCAGCUGGACGCUCUCCAUCGCUGCGAGGACAGCUGCCCAUGCCCACGCGGAGCCGUUCCCCCGCAGAGAGCAACAGGAUGGAGUUUAGUCCCGGUACACCAGGGGCUCCUGAGGAGCUGGUGGAAGUCGCGAGCGAGCAGAUAGCAUCCUGUGGUUUGUGCUGCGCUGGGCCAGGAGCACGCCAGAGUGGAUGGAGGCUGCACGGCUGGCAGAGGAGAAUGCAAAGCAGAGCUGGAGUCUGAGUUUGUCCCCACAGUUGAAGCCUGAACCUGCCCUUGUCUCAGGGAGGUUGAAAACAAGUCUGCCCUGAGACCACAUGAAAGCACACAAGCCUGUA